CCGCACGCGUCGGGAGAGCGCGUGGCCGCUGUUUAUUCGCGUGCCGCGCCGCCGAAGGGGCACACCCGCAAACUCUCAGGCAAAAGGACCGGCCGCGUCGAG
This 102-nucleotide non-coding RNA is filed under the name Caballeronia glathei. Its description in RNAcentral is "Burkholderia glathei Glycine sequence". It matches the Rfam family "Glycine riboswitch aptamer". Rfam says of the family: This family represents the bacterial glycine riboswitch. Glycine riboswitches usually consist of two metabolite-binding aptamers domains with similar structures in tandem. The aptamers cooperatively bind glycine to regulate the expression of downstream genes. The record is from Rfam by way of RNAcentral. Lineage: Bacteria; Pseudomonadati; Pseudomonadota; Betaproteobacteria; Burkholderiales; Burkholderiaceae.